CUUUAUUGCACAUGGUAAACAUGCAAACAGGAAAUUAUCCUAAAAGGAAUCACUGAGAGAUGGCAGUUCAAAUUUUCUCCAAGGUAGUUGUGUUUGAAAAAGACUCUUUCCUCAGACCUAAUGUUCUUAGGUAUUAAUAUCCUGCUCUACCUAACAACAUCCAGGACUUUCUUUCCUUUGUAUCUUGUUUGCCUGAGCAACACUCUGCAAACCUUCCUUCUGGAUCUGCCUGCUGGUUUUACCCCCCAG
This 249-nucleotide long non-coding RNA is filed under the name Homo sapiens (human). Its description in RNAcentral is "HSALNT0110897". The record is from RNAcentral. Lineage: Eukaryota; Metazoa; Chordata; Mammalia; Primates; Hominidae.